CCUACGGGAGGCAGCAGUGAGGAAUAUUGGUCAAUGGGCGCGAGCCUGAACCAGCCAAGUCGCGUGAGGGAAGACGGUCCUAUGGAUUGUAAACCUCUUUUGUCGGGGAGCAAAAGACGCCACGCGUGGCGUUCCGAGAGUACCCGACGAAAAAGCAUCGGCUAACUCCGUGCCAGCAGCCGCGGUAAUACGGAGGAUGCGAGCGUUAUCGGGAUUUAUUGGGUGUAAAGGGUGCGCAGGCGGUGGUUCAAGUCAGCGGUAAAAUUGAGAGGCUCAACCUCGUCGAGCCGUUGAAACUGGUAGUCUUGAGUGAGUGAGAAGUAUGCGGAAUGCGUGGUGUAGCGGUGAAAUGCAUAGAUAUCGCGCAGAACUCCGAUUGCGAAGGCAGCAUACCGGCGCUCAACUGACGCUCAUGCACGAAAGUGUGGGUAUCGAACAGGAUUAGAUACCCCUGUAGUC
RNAcentral lists this ribosomal RNA (459 nucleotides) under uncultured bacterium. Its description in RNAcentral is "partial 16S ribosomal RNA". It matches the Rfam family "Bacterial small subunit ribosomal RNA", at positions 338 to 795 of the family's 1533-position model. The record is from RNAcentral.